GAUGAGGUGGCCGAGUGGUUAAGGCGAUGGACUGCUAAUCCAUUGUGCUCUGCUCACAUGGGUUCGAAUCCCAUCCUCGUCG
Danio rerio (zebrafish) is the source of this 82-nucleotide non-coding RNA. Lineage: Eukaryota; Metazoa; Chordata; Actinopteri; Cypriniformes; Danionidae. The record is from Rfam.